Molecule: ribosomal RNA, 1036 nt
Filed under: uncultured bacterium
Lineage: Bacteria
Description: bacterial SSU rRNA
Rfam family: Bacterial small subunit ribosomal RNA
Source: RNAcentral
GUCGAACGAAGGCCCUAGCUUGCUAGGUGUCCUUAGUGGCGCACGGGUGAGUAACACGUGGGAACAUACCUCAUAGUACGGAAUAACUGCGGGAAACUGUAGCUAAUACCGUAUAUUCCAGAAAUGGGAAAGAUUUAUCGCUAUGAGAUUGGCCCGCGCAAGAUUAGCUUGUUGGUAAGGUAAUGGCUUACCAAGGCUCCGAUCUUUAGCUGGUUUGAGAGGAUGAUCAGCCACACUGGGACUGAGACACGGCCCAGACUCCUACGGGAGGCAGCAGUAGGGAAUAUUGGACAAUGGGGGAAACCCUGAUCCAGCAAUGCAGCGUGAGUGACGAAGGCCUUAGGGUUGUAAAACUCUUUCAUCGGUGAGGAUAAUGACAGUAGCCGAAGAAGAAGGACCGGCUAAUUCCGUGCCAGCAGCCGCGGUAAUACGGAAGGUCCUAGCGUUGUUCGGAAUUACUGGGCGUAAAGCGCAUGUAGGCGGAACAAAAAGUUAGAAGUGAAAUCCCUGGGCUCAACCUAGGAAUGGCUUUUAAAACUUUUGUUCUGGAAUUCAGGAGAGGAAAAUGGAAUUUCCAGUGUAGAGGUGAAAUUCGUAGAUAUUGGAAGGAACACCAGUGGCGAAGGCGAUUUUCUGGACUGAUAUUGACGCUGAGAUGCGAAGGCAUGGGUAGCAAACGGGAUUAGAUACCCCGGUAGUCCAUGCAGUAAACGAUGGGUGCUAGUCGUCGGACUUUUGUUCGGUGUCGUAGCUAACGCGUUAAGCACCCCGCCUGGGGAGUACGGUCGCAAGAUUAAAACUCAAAUAAAUUGACGGGGACCCGCACAAGCAGUGGAGCAUGUGGUUUAAUUCGACGCAACGCGAAGAACCUUACCAGCGUUUGACAUGGGAAGUGCCGGUUACAGAAUGGUAACCUUCAGUUCGGCUGGCUUCCACACAGGUGCUGCAUGGCUGUCGUCAGCUCGUGUCGUGAGAUGUUGGGGUUAAGUCCCGCAACGAGCGCAACCCUUAUCGUUAGUUACUAACAGUUCGGCUG